Lycium ferocissimum is the source of this 914-nucleotide long non-coding RNA. RefSeq lists it as uncharacterized. The record is from RefSeq and is a predicted model, not a curated record. The transcript is spliced from 2 exons. Lineage: Eukaryota; Viridiplantae; Streptophyta; Magnoliopsida; Solanales; Solanaceae.
AGAAGAAAUUGCCUGAUUUUGGAACUAGUUUGAGCGAUGGUAACUAUUGCACAUUUGGUUUUGGAUAUGAUGAGUUCCAUGAUGAUUAUAAGGUGGUGGGGUUUUUUAACUCUUUUUGCAAUUUGUCUUGUGUUGAGGUCAAAAUAUAUAGUCUAAAGGAGGAUUCUUGGAGAAGCACCCAUUAUCCUCCUCCAGAUGGGGUGCGAUUCUAUGGUACGGGUAUGUUUGUGAAUGGGAAGCUUCAUUGGAUUCAUCGUGAUCGUAAGAUCAUACAAUAAUUUCUAUUGAUUUGGCUGAUGAGAAAUGGGAAAAGGUUGAGCCACCAUGUUGGGGAGAAGAAGAUGUUUUGAUUUUGGAUCUGGUAGUACUGGGUAAUCUUUCUGUGAUAAGACAUGGUUAUCCUCGAAAUGUUAAUCCUGACACAUAUGUGUGGGUUAUGAAGGAGUAUGGGGUUAAAGAAUCUUGGACAAAGAUGUUUACCUUAAAAUAUCCUGUGUCGUCGCUGCCCUUUUUAAUUUCAAAUAAAGAUGAAAAUUUGCUUAUGUUUGGAAAAAAAUUCUUGUUGUACAAUCUGAAGGAUGAAUCGACCAGAUAUCCAGAGUUUACUAAGCUUAAAUCUGGUAAUGUGUGGGAAGUUUACCUUGAAAGCCUAGUUUUUCCCCUUUUACAGAACAAACCAAGGACACAACAGGAAUGAAGGGUGCAGAUGGAUGCAAUAGUGUGACCUGGAAGCUGGUUGUCCUGGCUUUGCUACAUUCUCGGUUCUGAUAGAGAAGUUCUUGGAUAGAUAUCACUAAUCCCAGUGAGCAAUUAGACUGAAUGGAUUAUUACAGUUGGGUUGUUUCUGAAUUUAGAAAGGGAUCAUUCUUUUUGAAACUUGUGAUCUUAAUGUCAUAACAUUUGAUGUGGGAUAA